AUUCCUUCCAAUCUUACAUAUUUCUUCAGUCUCCCCCAUUCACCUAUAAAUUAUCUUCAUGCAUCCUACUCUCCAAGCAUCAGAUUUCAGGUUGUGAAAAUUUUUUAGUAGAAAGAUUAUGGAGGCCGCAAAGAAAAUGAAGGCAACAUUAAUCGUCACAAUCGUCAUCUUCUCGCUAUUUGCACCGAGCUCUGCUAGCUUUGGUUCUUGCUAUAAAGAAUGUUAUCUAGAUUGCAUACAUAAUAAAUCUCCCAUACUUGAUUGCGCGGCAAUUUGUUUGGGGAAGUGUUUCACUCACAAAGAAUUCACUGGAAAGACCGCGGAGGGAGAAGAUAUUCCAAGGGCCACUCAAAGAGUUGUACCUAAAAAUUGAAUGAGUUUCAAACUUUAAUUUGUUGCCAGAGAGCUGAGGAAGGAUAAGUUUACGUACAAGCAUAAUAAAAUGUUCCAAUUAAUGUCA
Molecule: long non-coding RNA, 460 nt
Organism: Asparagus officinalis (garden asparagus)
Lineage: Eukaryota; Viridiplantae; Streptophyta; Magnoliopsida; Asparagales; Asparagaceae
Exons: 2
Source: RefSeq, a predicted model, not a curated record